Molecule: ribosomal RNA, 217 nt
Filed under: uncultured fungus
Lineage: Eukaryota; Fungi
Description: 5.8S ribosomal RNA
Rfam family: 5.8S ribosomal RNA (bases 62-215)
About the family: 5.8S ribosomal RNA (5.8S rRNA) is a component of the large subunit of the eukaryotic ribosome. It is transcribed by RNA polymerase I as part of the 45S precursor that also contains 18S and 28S rRNA.
Source: RNAcentral
CACUAUAAAGUUACAGAAUGUCUUUUAAAGAUUGUGCUAGCCGCAGUCAUUAAACCUAUACAACUUACAGCAACGGAUCUCUUGGCUCUCCCAUCGAUGAAGAACGCAGCGAAAUGCGAUAAGUAAUGUGAAUUGCAGAAUUCAGUGAAUCAUCGAAUCUUUGAACGCACCUUGCGCCCUUUGGUAUUCCGAAGGGCAUGCCUGUUUGAGUGUCAUU